UACGUAGGGUGCGAGCGUUAAUCGGAAUUACUGGGCGUAAAGCGCGUGUAGGCGGUUGCCCAAGUCGGGUGUGAAAGCCUUGAGCUCAACUCAAGAAAUGCACUCGGUACUGGGUGACUAGAGGACCGGAGAGGAUAGUGGAAUUCCCAGUGUAGUGGUGAAAUACGUAGAGAUUGGGAAGAACACCAGUGGCGAAGGCGGCUAUCUGGACGGUUUCUGACGCUAAGACGCGAAAGCGUGGGGAGCAAACAGG
This 253-nucleotide ribosomal RNA is filed under the name uncultured bacterium. Its description in RNAcentral is "partial 16S ribosomal RNA". It matches the Rfam family "Bacterial small subunit ribosomal RNA", at positions 524 to 776 of the family's 1533-position model. The record is from RNAcentral.